Molecule: ribosomal RNA, 301 nt
Filed under: uncultured bacterium
Lineage: Bacteria
Description: partial 16S ribosomal RNA
Rfam family: Bacterial small subunit ribosomal RNA
Source: RNAcentral
CAGCCGCCACGGUAAUACGGAGGGUGCAAGCGUUAAUCGGAAUUACUGGGCGUAAAGCGCACGCAGGCGGUCUGUCAAGUCAGAUGUGAAAUCCCCGGGCUUAACCUGGGAACUGCAUUUGAAACUGGCAGGCUAGAGUCUUGUAGAGGGGGGUAGAAUUCCAGGUGUAGCGGUGAAAUGCGUAGAGAUCUGGAGGAAUACCGGUGGCGAAGGCGGCCCCCUGGACAAAGACUGACGCUCAGGUGCGAAAGCGUGGGGAGCAAACAGGAUUAGAUACCCGUGUAGUCCCUGUCUCUUAUAC